CAGUAAGCCACACCUGCAUCAACUUUUCAGAAAGGCAAAGAUUGUCCUGUAGCACUUAAAGCUAUACUUCUAUGGUGGAAAAGAAAUUCUGAACUUUACAGUUUGAUGAUUAUGCACAACAAAAGAAUACACAGUACCAUCAGAGCUCAGGACAAUUAACAGGAUGUAUUUAGAAUAUUUUUAAUAUGCUAAUCUUUUCUUUUGCUUGAAGCAGCAUUCCCCCUUCAGAGGAAGAGAAAUCAUGCUGAGACAACUCACUACUGCAAAUUAAUGAAGUGACUGCAUACAACUCUUUAUUUACGUAAAAUAUAGUUGGUGGAGGGGGAGAUGACAAUUUGAACAAAGUUCCUCCUCGYCUGGAUUGUCAACUGACUCUGCCUUUGGAUCUCACGUGAAUAAAACCCAGCUGGAAUCCAGUCCUGGUGAACAGGGAGUGAAACAGUGUGUCAUCAGAGCCAUAUUUGGUACAGAGCUCUAUGUUACUGCAGCUGUGCUUCUUCUGGAAGAAAAGGACAAAAAGAAGCAGAAUAGUAUUCAGAAGAGAAACUGAGGGAGAGAGAAAAUGAAGUUCCAUUUUCAAAAUGGCAAAAAUAAGAUGUAAGAAAUCCUUACGGUAAGU
Molecule: long non-coding RNA, 619 nt
Filed under: Dromaius novaehollandiae (emu)
Lineage: Eukaryota; Metazoa; Chordata; Aves; Casuariiformes; Dromaiidae
Description: lncRNA (ENSDNVG00000014029.1)
Source: RNAcentral